Chlorocebus sabaeus (green monkey) is the source of this 106-nucleotide small nuclear RNA. Lineage: Eukaryota; Metazoa; Chordata; Mammalia; Primates; Cercopithecidae. The record is from Ensembl.
AUGCUUGCUUCAGCAGCACAUAUACUAAAAUUGAAAUGAUACAGAGAAGAUUAGCAUGGCCCUGCACAAGAUUAACAUGCAAAUUUGUGAAGCAUUCCAUAUUUUU